Molecule: long non-coding RNA, 788 nt
Filed under: Bos mutus (wild yak)
Lineage: Eukaryota; Metazoa; Chordata; Mammalia; Artiodactyla; Bovidae
Description: lncRNA (ENSBMUG00000015472.1)
Source: RNAcentral
GAGCAGCUGUGCGAAGCCCGCCGACCCGGCCCGACUUCGCCUGCGACUUCCCGGAACAAUAAGCCCCGGGCCCUAGCGCUGUCGGCCUAGCUCGGGGCCGAAAGCUGCUGCGCCGCGACCCCUCCCUCGGGCUUGCUGUGGCGGCUGGGGCGCUGAGGUGUGACACGGCGCGCCUCGGGGUUGUUUGCGGGCGAACAGCCGAGCCCGCCCAGACACUACGAGCCUUCCUGCCCCGCCGCCCUCGAAGACCUGCCCUCCCGGAGCGCCGGAGUCCUCAGCGGCGCCGAGGGCCCCUCCCCUGGGCUUGCGGGCUCUGAGAUGGCGUUCAUUUCCUUCUUGUGCUGAAUCUACUUGUGUCUAAUCCAUGGACUGUUUUCUCAACCCAUCCUCUGAUUUAACCUUGUUCAUGGGAGAGCCCAGAGGACACUCCAUUUAUCAAAGCAGUCAAGAAUGCACAGGAAGCUCUCCUGCUCUUAGACUGAAAACCUGGCUGCUCUGUGUCUAGACUGUAGAAGUUCUGGAGAUGAACAGUGCUGAUGGUUUCACAACAAUGUGAAGGUACUUAAUGCCACUGAACUGUGCGCCUAAAUACAGCACAUGUCAUCAGUGUGUUUUCUUCAUAACCUUGGAACUGCAACUUUCAUUCCUUUAAGAGAUGGAAAAUGCUAGCUAUAUAACCCAGUUGUUAACAACUUUCCUCUUUGCCAUUAAAUCAGAAUUACUUACUGUCAGAAGACAUCUGAGUUUAUUUUUUACAUGAAACAAAUAUGUUAAUACUUACUUCAAGG